UGGGGAAUUUUGGACAAUGGGCGAAAGCCUGAUCCAGCAAUGCCGCGUGUGUGAAGAAGGCCUUCGGGUUGUAAAGCACUUUUGUCCGGAAAGAAAUCCUUGGCUCUAAUACAGUCGGGGGAUGACGGUACCGGAAGAAUAAGCACCGGCUAACUACGUGCCAGCAGCCGCGGUAAUACGUAGGGUGCAAGCGUUAAUCGGAAUUACUGGGCGUAAAGCGUGCGCAGGCGGUUUGCUAAGACCGAUGUGAAAUCCCCGGGCUCAACCUGGGAACUGCAUUGGUGACUGGCAGGCUAGAGUAUGGCAGAGGGGGGUAGAAUUCCACGUGUAGCAGUGAAAUGCGUAGAGAUGUGGAGGAAUACCGAUGGCGAAGGCAGCCCCCUGGGCCAAUACUGACGCUCAUGCACGAAAGCGUGGGGAGCAAACAGGAUUAGAUACCCUGGUAGUCCACGCCCUAAGCGAUGUCAACUAGUUGUUGGGGAUUCAUUUUCCUUAGUAACGUAGCUAACGCGUGAAGUUGACCGCCUGGGGAGUACGGUCGCAAGAUUAAAACUUAAAUGAAUUGACGGGGUCAUAGCUGUUUCCU
RNAcentral lists this ribosomal RNA (586 nucleotides) under uncultured bacterium. Its description in RNAcentral is "partial 16S ribosomal RNA". It matches the Rfam family "Bacterial small subunit ribosomal RNA", at positions 355 to 1375 of the family's 1533-position model. The record is from RNAcentral.